ACUUGGUUGUAUGGAAGUGGAUUAUCAGAACUUGAUAAUAUUAGUGUCACUAAAGUUGGUAUACAACCCCUCGCUGCUAAAUUUGACUGGCUUUUU
Molecule: unclassified non-coding RNA, 96 nt
Organism: Aotus nancymaae (Ma's night monkey)
Lineage: Eukaryota; Metazoa; Chordata; Mammalia; Primates; Aotidae
Rfam family: Y RNA
About the family: Y RNAs are components of the Ro ribonucleoprotein particle (Ro RNP), in association with Ro60 and La proteins. The Y RNAs and Ro60 and La proteins are well conserved, but the function of the Ro RNP is not known. In humans the RNA component can be one of four small RNAs -- hY1, hY3, hY4 and hY5.
Source: Ensembl